This is a non-coding RNA of Paramuricea clavata, 73 nucleotides long. Lineage: Eukaryota; Metazoa; Cnidaria; Anthozoa; Malacalcyonacea; Plexauridae. The record is from the annotation of a GenBank genome assembly.
GACCUCGUAGCUCAGUUGGUAGAGCAUUGGACUAGUAUGCCAAAGGCUGUGGGUUUGUUUCCCACCAUGGUCA